This is a non-coding RNA of Lactuca sativa (garden lettuce), 906 nucleotides long. The record is from RefSeq and is a predicted model, not a curated record. Lineage: Eukaryota; Viridiplantae; Streptophyta; Magnoliopsida; Asterales; Asteraceae.
AAGAGUCCGGAAAGAAAACAUAAGAGUGUGAAAAAUUACACCGGUGCCUGCGACCGGGACAACAAGCAGUGGACGAUGGUGGAAGCAGCAGAUGGUGUCCAAUGCCGGAGCAGGUGAUGUUGUUAGAAAGAAUGCGCUCUGAAAACUACAAAGGCCACUCAGAUACAACAAAUCACACCAAGGCUAUCAAUUUAUAGCAAAAUACGAGGCAAAAAUGUUUUCUGUUGGCUUCAAAAUCACAAAGCUGGUGAACGAGAAAAGCUUCAAAAGAACCUCAUGGCCAUGCAUGCAUGUACCAGCAAUAUCACCUAGUAAAUUUUCAACUCCUUUUGUUUAAAUUACUUAAAAAUGAAAUUUAAGUUGUCCAUUAAAUUAUUAGUCAUGUUUUGAUCUUUUAACUUGGCUGUAAGGUCGCCAAAUUUUCAAGGUUUCCUAGACAUGAUUAUCUUUUAAAAAAGGUUGGUGAAGUUGAAGAUGCAUCAACAAUUAUCAAGAAUUGGAAGGUACAUUGACAUGAGUUUCUUUCGAAGCUUUUGUCGGUCACGAGCUUUGUGAUUUUGAACCCAUGCAACAGAAGACAUUUUUGCCUUGUAUUUUGCCAUAAGUCGAUAGCCUUGCUGUGAUUUGCUGUAUCUGAUCAGUGGCCGUUGGUGUAUUUAGAGCGCAUUCCUUCUAAUAACAUCACCUGCUCCGGCGUUGGAUACCAUCUCGUGCUUCCACCACCACCUCAGCCACCACUGAUUGUUAUCAUUUUUGGACUCUUUUUGUUAGUGUUUGUUUUGAAGGGAUGUACUGUUCCUCUACCCCAUAGCCUUAAUUGAAUAAUUGAUAAGAAAAUGUUAAGUAUGGUUCACGUCCAAAAUGUUUAUCAUUUGCAACUCUAUACCACUAUUUCUUAAAUGGGCG